Long non-coding RNA from Nematostella vectensis (starlet sea anemone), 293 nucleotides. RefSeq lists it as uncharacterized. The transcript is spliced from 2 exons. The record is from RefSeq and is a predicted model, not a curated record. NCBI's taxonomy places the organism in Eukaryota, Metazoa, Cnidaria, Anthozoa, Actiniaria, Edwardsiidae.
GUGAUAACUAAUGCAAAAUGAAGAUUAUUUAUUUUUCCAUUUUUUAGUAAUGGUUAUCUUAAUUGUUAUUGGUACAAAUGUACUCAGUUAAGUGUACUUGCUUUGAAAGAUAUUUAAGAUGACUUGUUAUCUCAAAUGCCAGGGGCAUUUGACUGUAGUUUUUCCCCGAGGGGGUGGGAGCUUUUCUCUGUAUUCUACAGGAUCAAAGUCUAAUCCCCCACCCUUCCCUGGUGGUUUCAAUUGACUAGUGCAUUAAUUUUUUUGAUAAGGUUCUUUUGAAAAGCCAGCUUAUC